CUGGGGCUGAGGGAUGUCUAAGGCACCUUCCAGUUCUAAGUCCUAGGGUCUCCAAGGACAAAGCUGGCACUAGGAUUCUGGGUUUUCUCAGGCCAGGAUCCUGAGCCUAAAAGCCUUGGGAAUAGCCACACUGAAUUUCAGCCCAGUGCCCUCAGCUGUCAUCCUGAGAAGCAGCCCCCGUGGUGAUCCAGCUUGGCCACCAUCCCCAACAUUUACCUGUGUAUCUCUUUGCAAUUUCCAAGAUGCUUUCCUAGAAGUUUACUACUUCCCUCCUGUGGCUUCAAGACAUUCAAUCAAUUCAGUUACAGGACAAAGCCUCAGGAAGGAGACAGUGGGAUUUGUUGGAAUGAACACUGGCUUUGGAGUCACAGCAUGAGGGUUCAAAGCUCAUCUUUGCUAUUAACCAUCUGCAUGACCUUGUCACUUCUCAUUUCUGGGCCUCCCUUUAUUCAUCUGUAAGAUGGAUCAAUUGGGCAAGAUACUUUCUAGUUUAGUUCUAAAUCCUGUGACCUGGCUGCUAUUGCCCAAAGAAGGGAAACAUUUUUUUCAGUCAAUAAACAUGUACUAAGCAACUACUUUGUUCCAACUAUUUUAUGUGUAAUCUCCAGGACUGUGCUAAGUG
Molecule: long non-coding RNA, 622 nt
Organism: Trichosurus vulpecula (common brushtail)
Lineage: Eukaryota; Metazoa; Chordata; Mammalia; Diprotodontia; Phalangeridae
Exons: 4
Source: RefSeq, a predicted model, not a curated record